Molecule: ribosomal RNA, 292 nt
Filed under: uncultured bacterium
Lineage: Bacteria
Description: partial 16S ribosomal RNA
Rfam family: Bacterial small subunit ribosomal RNA
Source: RNAcentral
GUGUCAGCCGCCGCGGUAAUACGUAGGGGCCGAGCGUUGUCCGGAGUUACUGGGCGUAAAGCGCGCGCAGGCGGCCAUUUAAGCCUGGCGUGAAAGCCCCCGGCUCAACCGGGGAGGGUCGUCGGGGACUGGAUGGCUUGAGGGCGGCAGGGGCUGGUGGAAUCCCCGGUGUAGUGGUGAAAUGCGUAGAGAUCGGGGGGAACACCCGUGGCGAAGGCGGCCAGCUGGGCCGACUCUGACGCUGAGGCGCGAAGGCGUGGGGAGCGAACGGGAUUAGAAACCCGGGUAGUCC